CUAAAGCUUAUUAAAAAACUAAUAACAAAAACUAGCUUCUUUUAAAAUUUCAAAAUAAAGAAAUAUAAAUAUAAAAAAUAGUAUAAAAAAUUCCAUAUCAAUUUUGAAAUUCACCACCCAAUAACUCCAACAAUAUUGUCUCACAAAUUCAAACACACCUCUAUUGUCAUAGCUUAUCUUCUUAUAUACUAAGAUUUGUUAAAAAGCUAACAAUAAGAUCUAUCUUUUCUCCAAAUCUCAGCACAAAAUGAUAAAAUUAUAAUAACAAAUGUAGAAAAUUCCAAACCAAUCUCAAAUCUUCUUGUUCAAAAAAUCCAGCAACCUCCC
Molecule: long non-coding RNA, 327 nt
Filed under: Physcomitrium patens
Lineage: Eukaryota; Viridiplantae; Streptophyta; Bryopsida; Funariales; Funariaceae
Description: long non-coding RNA (PPAT_LNC009207)
Source: RNAcentral